Molecule: long non-coding RNA, 252 nt
Organism: Rhagoletis zephyria (snowberry fruit fly)
Lineage: Eukaryota; Metazoa; Arthropoda; Insecta; Diptera; Tephritidae
Source: RefSeq, a predicted model, not a curated record
AUAUACAUAAAUACACUUUAAUUUGUCUGUGUAGGUCCAAAAUAUCUGGCUAUGACCUUUAACACUCUCAAACAGAUGCCAAAGAGCAAACUACCUGUCGUUACUAUAAUAUAGGAAGGCCCUAACACAUAUAGUCGCUGAAAUGCAAAAAAGCCGAAACUGACUAAAAUUUUUUAUUGCUUAAGAUGAUGUGAGGACUUAUAAUUUCGAUGAAAUGCAUCAUAAUCAAUCAAAAAGGAAUAUUGAAUUUUU